Molecule: long non-coding RNA, 773 nt
Organism: Leopardus geoffroyi (Geoffroy's cat)
Lineage: Eukaryota; Metazoa; Chordata; Mammalia; Carnivora; Felidae
Exons: 4
Source: RefSeq, a predicted model, not a curated record
AGAGCCGGCGGUCCGCAGUAACUGGCUGGGGGAGGCGGUUUGCGGCUGCCCGGGGCGCUGAGCGCUGGGGCAGUUUCUCCUGACUUCUCCCUGCGUCGGGCCAGCCAAGGGGAAAGCCUCGAAUGGGAGAGAGGGGUGAAGGCAGAGGAUGGGUGAGGAAGGAAAGGGCUGAGAAAUGGCAAGAGCCCAUCCUGCCUCGGAAACUACAUAAUGGCAGGGAAGGACCGCCAGCAAGACUGGAACCAGUACAAGUUGCACAGUUGUUUGUGCAUUUGACUCAGCUACAGCAGUAGUUGCACCGGGAGGGGCAAAAUGUCACCCAAGAGGUAGAGAAGAAAAAUAGCAAUUGGAGUCUCACAGAACUUCUUAGAUCCUACUGUUGAAGUCUGUGGCUCCUCUCUGGUGAAAUGGAUCCUGGGAAGAUGUGGCACAGAAGGGGCAGUUCAUAAAGAGGAAUGGACUUCAAAUGGAGAGACCUCAUUAAAAUGCAUGCUUCUCAUUCUUGGAGCUCUACAAAUAAAGGAGAAGCAAGAGACCAUCAACAAGAUGGUGUUUGUUUCAAGUUUUACAGGUACCUUUUGUUCCACAGCAUCAUAUCAACGGGGUAUGUUGUUAUUUAAAUUAUAUUCAAAUAGUCCAAUAAUGCCAGUUUAGGGCUGAAAGACAAGGAGAAGCUGAGAACAUAUGAGAUGACGCUUUCGGUCUUAUAAGUAAAUUAAGGCAAUAUUAUUGGUAAUAUUGAACAAAGAAACGGUAUGAUAACACUUUCUGAA